GGCAGUGUGGUGUAGUGGUUUGAGCAUUGGACUAAGACUAUGACUCUGGACACCAUGGUUCAAAUCCCUGCUAUGCCA
Molecule: non-coding RNA, 78 nt
Organism: Phrynosoma platyrhinos (Desert horned lizard)
Lineage: Eukaryota; Metazoa; Chordata; Lepidosauria; Squamata; Phrynosomatidae
Source: the annotation of a GenBank genome assembly